GUUGGUGUGUAUCACUCCUGCUGCAGGUAAGACCCUUCAAUUCGAAAAGCCAACUUUUUAAACUUCUCAAUACAAAGCUUUCUUCAUUUCCCAAAAUUUUCCCCCACAGGUCUUGUUCAAGGAUNNNNNNNNNUAGUAAUGGGUUUAGCAUCAGGAAGCAUCCCCUGGUACACCAUGAUGUGCUUGAGCAAGAAGUUGCCCUUGCUGCAGAAGGUUGAUGAUACCCUGGGUGUAUUACACACUCAUGCUGUUGCCGGAACCUUAGGUGGGGCUCUGACAGGGCUCUUUGCACAUCCAUACCUCAGUGGGUUGUUCUUGGUAGUCCCUAAUUCGAAAGGGGCAUUCUAUGGUACUCGAGGUGGAAUUCAAUUUCUAAAGCAAUUAGCAGGAGCAGGUUUUGUCAUAGGGUGGAACGUAUUAGUUACAUCCAUCAUUCUUUGUGUGAUAAAAUUGUUGAUACCCCUGCGGAUGACUGAUGAAGAGCUAAAAGUUGGCGAUGAUGCUGCUCAUGGAGAACAAGCGUAUGCUUUAGCUGGACAAGGACAAAAGGAAAAUUCUACAAUGAUAAGUGGAAACCAUGAUUCUGUGGAGCUCCAAUACCCCUAUGUUUAAUUUAAGAUGG
RNAcentral lists this unclassified non-coding RNA (622 nucleotides) under Hevea brasiliensis (rubber tree). Lineage: Eukaryota; Viridiplantae; Streptophyta; Magnoliopsida; Malpighiales; Euphorbiaceae. The record is from RNAcentral.